AAAACUUGUUGAAUUCAUUCCUUAAACUAAAUAUGGCACAAAGCCAAUACAUAAAACAAGUUUACAAUCUUGACAAAACAGUAGGUUGACCUAAACUUCACCUACUACCACUAAUACACAUAGUAACUUGUGCUAAUUAGCUUGAACAAAUAAACAAAGCUGAUUUAUCAGCUCAAUCAACAUCAAAAUUACAUCAAACAUAAACCUAACAUAGUUAUAAAGCAACUAAGUUACAUUACUCUAACUUAAAAUUACAAAAUGAAACAUAAACAGCUUGCUGACUAG
This 285-nucleotide long non-coding RNA is filed under the name Gossypium barbadense (sea-island cotton). RNAcentral describes it as "long non-coding RNA (GBAR_LNC018557)". The record is from RNAcentral. Lineage: Eukaryota; Viridiplantae; Streptophyta; Magnoliopsida; Malvales; Malvaceae.